Molecule: ribosomal RNA, 381 nt
Filed under: uncultured bacterium
Lineage: Bacteria
Description: bacterial SSU rRNA
Rfam family: Bacterial small subunit ribosomal RNA
Source: RNAcentral
AUUGAACGCUGGCGGCAUGCCUUACACAUGCAAGUCGAACGGCAGCGCGGGGCAACCUGGCGGCGAGUGGCGAACGGGUGAGUAAUAUAUCGGAACAUGCCCAGAAGUGGGGGAUAACGUAGCGAAAGUUACGCUAAUACCGCAUACGAUCUACGGAUGAAAGUGGGGGACCGCAAGGCCUCAUGCUUUUGGAGUGGCCGAUAUCUGAUUAGCUAGUUGGUGGGGUAAAGGCCUACCAAGGCGACGAUCAGUAGCUGGUCUGAGAGGACGACCAGCCACACUGGAACUGAGACACGGUCCAGACUCCUACGGGAGGCAGCAGUGGGGAAUUUUGGACAAUGGGGGGCAACCCUGAUCCAGCAAUGCCGCGUGUGUGAAGAA